AUGACGAAGAAGAGGUGUAACGAAGGCAAGCACAAACGCAAUGGAUCCAGCCUGGGAAGUGGCGGCAUUCCGGCAACGAAAUAGACCAGCCAAGGAUCUCCCUCACAAGGUCACAGCGAGCGGCAAGCCAUCGGUCUCGCGCCGGUGGUGGAGUCGCGAACUACCCUGGAUAGUGGUGGCACUCGGCACAGUGCUCGUGCUACUCGUGCUCACCGUGUACAGCCUGAUGCCGACUCGAUCCGCGCGAUACAUCGUCUUGACAAGAGACGAAUGGCGUCGAAACCCUUCGGCAAUGUCGGCUUGGCAACAGAAAAACCACCGCACCGCAGACGCCGACCUCUCGUGAAGCGCAGUGUUGUUCCUUUCCUGGUGCACCACAGACAAGCGGGCCGUCUGCAGCGGCUCGGCAGGAGCCGUCGCUUAAGGCACCGUAU
Dermacentor albipictus is the source of this 434-nucleotide long non-coding RNA. RefSeq lists it as uncharacterized. NCBI's taxonomy places the organism in Eukaryota, Metazoa, Arthropoda, Arachnida, Ixodida, Ixodidae. The record is from RefSeq and is a predicted model, not a curated record.